RNAcentral lists this transfer RNA (73 nucleotides) under Arthrobacter russicus. Its description in RNAcentral is "tRNA-Ala". It matches the Rfam family "tRNA". Rfam says of the family: Transfer RNA (tRNA) molecules are approximately 80 nucleotides in length. Their secondary structure includes four short double-helical elements and three loops (D, anti-codon, and T loops). Further hydrogen bonds mediate the characteristic L-shaped molecular structure. tRNAs have two regions of fundamental functional importance: the anti-codon, which is responsible for specific mRNA codon recognition, and the 3' end, to which the tRNAs corresponding amino acid is attached (by aminoacyl-tRNA synthetases). tRNAs cope with the degeneracy of the genetic code in two manners: having more than one tRNA (with a specific anti-codon) for a particular amino acid; and 'wobble' base-pairing, i.e. permitting non-standard base-pairing at the 3rd anti-codon position. The record is from RNAcentral. Lineage: Bacteria; Bacillati; Actinomycetota; Actinomycetes; Micrococcales; Micrococcaceae. RNAcentral also lists the same sequence under 1 other name.
GGGGGUAUGGCGCAGCUGGUAGCGCACUUGCAUGGCAUGCAAGGGGUCAGGGGUUCGAAUCCCCUUACCUCCA